This 74-nucleotide transfer RNA is filed under the name Caudoviricetes sp. RNAcentral describes it as "tRNA-Lys". It matches the Rfam family "tRNA". From Rfam's summary of the family: Transfer RNA (tRNA) molecules are approximately 80 nucleotides in length. Their secondary structure includes four short double-helical elements and three loops (D, anti-codon, and T loops). The record is from RNAcentral. Lineage: Duplodnaviria; Heunggongvirae; Uroviricota; Caudoviricetes.
GGGGCGUUAGCUUAGCAGGUUAAAGCAAUAGAUUUUUAAUCUAGAGAGCGCUGGUUCGAUUCCAGCACGUCCCA